RNAcentral lists this ribosomal RNA (937 nucleotides) under uncultured Ascomycota. Its description in RNAcentral is "eukaryotic LSU rRNA". It matches the Rfam family "Eukaryotic large subunit ribosomal RNA", at positions 1 to 953 of the family's 3401-position model. The record is from RNAcentral. Lineage: Eukaryota; Fungi; Ascomycota.
CGUUUGACCUCGGAUCAGGUAGGGAUACCCGCUGAACUUAAGCAUAUCAAUAAGCGGAGGAAAAGAAACCAACAGGGAUUGCCCUAGUAACGGCGAGUGAAGCGGCAACAGCUCAAAUUUGAAAUCUGGCUCUUUUAGAGUCCGAGUUGUAAUUUGCAGAGGGCGCUUUGGCUUUGGCAGCGGUCCAAGUUCCUUGGAACAGGACGUCACAGAGGGUGAGAAUCCCGUACGUGGUCGCUAGCUAUUGCCGUGUAAAGCCCCUUCGACGAGUCGAGUUGUUUGGGAAUGCAGCUCUAAAUGGGAGGUAAAUUUCUUCUAAAGCUAAAUAUUGGCCAGAGACCGAUAGCGCACAAGUAGAGUGAUCGAAAGAUGAAAAGCACUUUGGAAAGAGAGUCAAACAGCACGUGAAAUUGUUGAAAGGGAAGCGCUUGCAGCCAGACUUGCUUGCAGUUGCUCAUCCGGGCUUUUGCCCGGUGCACUCUUCUGCAGGCAGGCCAGCAUCAGUUUGGGCGGUGGGAUAAAGGUCUCUGACACGUUCCUUCCUUCGGGUCGGCCAUAUAGGGGAGACGUCAUACCACCAGCCUGGACUGAGGUCCGCGCAUCUGCUAGGAUGCUGGCGUAAUGGCUGUAAGCGGCCCGUCUUGAAACACGGACCAAGGAGUCUAACAUCUAUGCGAGUGUUUGGGUGUCAAGCCCGAGCGCGUAAUGAAAGUGAACGGAGGUGGGAACCCGCAAGGGUGCACCAUCGACCGAUCCUGAAGUUUACGGAAGGAUUUGAGUAAGAGCAUGGCUGUUGGGACCCGAAAGAUGGUGAACUAUGCUUGAAUAGGGUGAAGCCAGAGGAAACUCUGGUGGAGGCUCGCAGCGGUUCUGACGUGCAAAUCGAUCGUCAAAUUUGGGCAUAGGGGCGAAGACUAAUCGAACUAUCUAGUAGCUG